Molecule: ribosomal RNA, 1693 nt
Filed under: Meloidogyne chitwoodi
Lineage: Eukaryota; Metazoa; Nematoda; Chromadorea; Rhabditida; Meloidogynidae
Description: SSU rRNA
Rfam family: Eukaryotic small subunit ribosomal RNA
Source: RNAcentral
AUGUACCAGUUUAAUCGAUUUAUCGAGAAACCGCGAACGGCUCAUUACAAUGGCCAUGAUUUACUUGAUCUUGAUUAAUCCUAAAUGGAUAACUGUGGAAAAUCUAGAGCUAAUACAUGCACUAAAGCUUUGACCUCACGGAAAAGCGCAUUUAUUAGAACAAAACCACGCGGCUUCGGCUGCUCUUUGUUGACUCAGAAUAACUAAGCUGACCGCAUGGCCUUGUGCCGGCGGCGUGUCUUUCAAGCGUCCACUUUAUCAACUUGACGGGAGCAUAAUCGACUCCCGUGGUUGUGACGGAUAACGGAGGAUCAGGGUUCGACUCCGGAGAAGGGGCCUGAGAAAUGGCCACUACGUCUAAGGAUGGCAGCAGGCGCGCAAAUUACCCACUCUCGGCUCGAGGAGGUAGUGACGAGAAAUAACGAGACCGUUCUCAUUGAGGCCGGUCAUCGGAAUGGGUACAAUCUAAACCCUUUAACGAGUAUCAAGGAGAGGGCAAGUCUGGUGCCAGCAGCCGCGGUAAUUCCAGCUUCUCCUAAUGCAUAGAAUUAUUGCUGCGGUUAAAAAGCUCGUAGUUGGAUUCGUAUCGAUACUCUGGGACCCUUCGGGUGUUUCUGGAUGUUAUCGAUUUAUCGUAAUGUUCAGUUUUGAGUCCUUAACAGGAUUCUUAACAGGCAUUGCAAGUUUACUUUGAACAAAUCAGAGUGCUUCAAACAGGCGUAUUCGCUUGAAUGAUCGUGCAUGGAAUAAUAGAAAACGAUUUCGGUUCAGUUUUAUUGGUUUUACGGACUGAGAUGAUGGUUAACAGAGACAAACGGGGGCAUUUGUAUGGCCCCGUGAGAGGUGAAAUUCUUGGACCGUGGCCAGACAAACUACAGCGAAAGCAUUUGCCAAGAAUGUCUUCAUUAAUCAAGAACGAAAGUCAGAGGUUCGAAGGCGAUCAGAUACCGCCCUAGUUCUGACCGUAAACGAUGCCAACUAGCGAUCCGCCGAUGGAGAUUAUAUUGCCUUGGGUGGGGAGCUUCCCGGAAACGAAAGUCUUCCGGUUCCGGGGGAAGUAUGGUUGCAAAGCUGAAACUUAAAGGAAUUGACGGAAGGGCACCACCAGGAGUGGAGCCUGCGGCUUAAUUUGACUCAACACGGGAAAACUCACCCGGCCCGGACACUGUGAGGAUUGACAGAUUGAUAGCUUUUUCAUGAUUCAGUGGAUGGUGGUGCAUGGCCGUUCUUAGUUCGUGGAGUGAUUUGUCUGGUUUAUUCCGAUAACGAGCGAGACUCUAACCUACUAAAUAGUUGAUAUUUUUUUUUGAAUAUACAACUUCUUAGAGGGAUUUGCGGUGUUUAGCCGAAAGAAAUUGAGCAAUAACAGGUCUGUGAUGCCCUUAGAUGUCCGGGGCUGCACGCGCGCUACACUGGCAAAAUCAACGUGCUUGUCCUUCCCCGAAAGGGGCGGGUAAACCAUUGAAAAUUUGCCGUGAUUGGGAUCGGAAAUUGCAAUUAUUUUCCGUGAACGAGGAAUUCCAAGUAAGUGCGAGUCAUCAGCUCGCGUUGAUUACGUCCCUGCCCUUUGUACACACCGCCCGUCGCUGCCCGGGACUGAGCCAUUUCGAGAAAUUUGGGGACUGUUGAUUUAACUUUUUUUAAAAAGUUUUUUUGAUGGAAACCAAUUUAAUCGCAGUAGCUUGAACCGGGC